CAGUAGCCACGGUAAUACGAGGGGGGCAAGCGUUGUUCGGAAUUAUUGGGCGUAAAGGGCGCGUAGGCGGUUUGGCAAGUUUGGUGUGAAAUCUUCGGGCUCAACUCGAAGUCUGCAUCGAAAACUGCCGGGCUUGAGUAUGGGAGAGGUGAGUGGAAUUUCCGGUGUAGCGGUGAAAUGCGUAGAUAUCGGAAGGAACACCUGUAGCGAAAGCGGCUCACUGGACCAUAACUGACGCUGAGGCGCGAAAGCUAGGGGAGCAAACAGGAUUAGAUACCCGCGUAGUCCCUGUCUCUUAUAA
Molecule: ribosomal RNA, 301 nt
Filed under: uncultured bacterium
Lineage: Bacteria
Description: partial 16S ribosomal RNA
Rfam family: Bacterial small subunit ribosomal RNA
Source: RNAcentral